This is a long non-coding RNA of Physeter macrocephalus (sperm whale), 446 nucleotides long. RefSeq lists it as uncharacterized. The transcript is spliced from 4 exons. The record is from RefSeq and is a predicted model, not a curated record. NCBI's taxonomy places the organism in Eukaryota, Metazoa, Chordata, Mammalia, Artiodactyla, Physeteridae.
AGUCCAGCUAUUCCUAGGAAGUAUCAGUGCCUUUUUCCCAUACUACUGCCAGAACUGGAUGAUUCACAGGCUGGUAAGCCUUUGCAAAUCUAAAAAUACAAGGCUUUAAGAAGACGUUUGUCAUUUCUUAUGUUGAAUGAAUAACACUGGCCUCCAAAAUGUCACCACAAGAAGCCACAACUAAACAAGACGUUUGACAAUUCACCGAGGUCAAUAGCACUUUGAAGGAAGUGAAGAGGGGAACGUGAUGGAGACUUAGGCGUUGCUGAGAGCAUCUUGAGGCUAUUGCAUCUAGCCUUUUUUCCAUGAAGGGCUCAUGGAUGCUAUAACUGAGAAAAAGUUUUCUAUUCAGUGUGGACACAAACAAAUUGGCUGGGUGUGAAACCCUGGAGUCAUACUUCUUCCCCCCAGUCUUUGGAGAAUAGUGUUUCUCAAAGUGUGGUUUU